This 239-nucleotide long non-coding RNA is filed under the name Penaeus japonicus. Its description in RNAcentral is "uncharacterized LOC122261131". Lineage: Eukaryota; Metazoa; Arthropoda; Malacostraca; Decapoda; Penaeidae. The record is from RNAcentral.
UAGAUGCCUGAGGGUAAUUGGGAAGUGACCUCACACCUUCUAAACAAGGGUGAGUCCUCACUCGCCUUCCACCCACCACUCUCCCUUUUUUUUGUAUAUACAUCAUCUGGAAAAACAUAACAAAAGCUACUCGCAGUUUCUGAAGAAUCACGCCGAACUGCAGUAACCAUCCAAUGUCAAAUUUGUAUUCAGUGUCAAUAUAUUUUUCUUUUAUUUGUUAUAAUAAAUCUCUAUUAUAC